GUCCUUUUGAUUAUAAUUUAAGGUCUGACCUGCCCACUGAAAUUAUUUUAAAUGGCCGCAGUAAUUUGACUGUGCAAAGGUAGCAUAAUCAUUAGUUUUUUAAUUAAAAGCUUGUAUGAAGGGUUGGACGAGAUAAAAUCUGUCUCUAUUUAAUUUAAUAUAAAAUUUAAUUUUUAAGUUAAAAAGCUUAAAUUUUUUUAAAAGACGAGAAGACCCUAUAGAUCUUUAUAGUUUUGAUUUUGAAUUUAAUUAAUAAAUUUUUAUGAUUUAUAAUUUAAACUAUUUUAUUGGGGUAAUAGAAAGAUUAAAAUAAUUCUUUUUUUCUUUAAACAUUUAUUUAUGUUUUUAAUGAUCCAAUUUUAUUGAUUAUAAGAUUAAGUUACCUUAGGGAUAACAGCGUAAUUUUUUUAGAGAGUUCUUAUCGAUAAAAAAGUUUGCGACCUCGAUGUUGGAUUAAAGAUUAGUUUAGGUGUAGAAGUUUAAAUUUUUGGUCUGUUCGACCAUUAAAUCUUUACAUGAUCUGAGUUCAGACCGGCGUAAGCCAGGUCGGUUUCUAUCUUUAAUAAUUUUAAAAUAUUUUAGUACGAAAGGACCAAAUAUUUAAUAUAUUUAUAUUUAAUUUUUUGAAUAUUAUU
This 635-nucleotide ribosomal RNA is filed under the name Lissopterus sp. LIM2. RNAcentral's name for it is "partial 16S ribosomal RNA". It matches the Rfam family "Bacterial large subunit ribosomal RNA", at positions 1825 to 2760 of the family's 2925-position model. Lineage: Eukaryota; Metazoa; Arthropoda; Insecta; Coleoptera; Carabidae. The record is from RNAcentral.